UUUAAACAUUCAAUAUGGACAUUCAAUUUAUAUUAUAAAAGUUAUUCCUUUUACAGAACCUAUUCCUUUUACAGUACCUGUUCAUUUUACAGUACCUUGAUAGCCAAAUUCUUAUGGAUGAAUAUCAAAGCAAUUUUGAUUUAGAUGAAGAAAUAACUUCUACAAGUCAAAAAAAAUAGAAGUUGGGGCACAAUUUGAAUCAUUUAAUGAUUUGCAAGAAGCUAUAGAUAAAUAUGAAAAUCUAGUGUUUACAAAUUACCAUAUAGCAACAUGUACCAAGCUUGGUAAUUUUGAUGAAAACAUUCAAACAAUACAAUACAAAUAUAUACGUUAUGUUUGUAUACAUGGAGGAAGACACUUUAAAAGUCUUGGGAAAGGAAAACGACUUACCCAAACUUUACAACUAAAUUGCCCAAACAGCUUUUCAGUAAAGCACAUAAUAAUAGGGGAUCUACAUAGGCUAGAGGUUUCCAAAAUGAAUAGUGGGCAUAAUCAUGAUUUGGAUUAUAAUUUAUUCAUGCGUUUACCUAAGCAACGUAAAAUAAAUGAUGAAUCAAGAUCAUUAAUUGUUAAGUGUUUAGAAUAUGAUGCCUCAAUUCCUAAAAUUAAAUAUGACCUCCAACAAAAAGGAGUUUACACAACAAAUCGAGAUUUAUAUAAUAUAAAAAAGAAAAUAUUAUAUCAACCAGGGGACUCUGAGCUCCUGGAUGUUUUUAAUUUAUUAAAAAAUUUAAACCCUAAUAAUAUUAUAAAAAUAGUUUCUGAAAACAAUGCCCUUCAUGGGAUAUAUUACCAAACCCCAAAUAUGAAGGAUUACUUUAGAGCAUUUCCAGAGAUUCUCCUGGUUGAUGCAACUUAUAAAUUAAAUUAUUAUCAAAUGCCAGUAUUUACUCUCUUUGUUAUUGAUGGCGAAGAACAAACGAGAUUUGCUGCUAUCUGGAUAGUCAAAUCUGAGAAUUAUUUAAUUGUUAAAAAUAUGUGUGAUUUAUUUAAAUCGUACAAUGAUAAUAAUAAUAAAAUUAAAGUAAUAAUUGCAGAUAAGGACUUUGCUGAUAGACAUGCUUAUAGAGAAGCCUUUCCUAUGGCUUCACUUGAAAUAUGUACGUUCCAUGUACAACAAACAUUUAUUAGAGAAAUAACCGUUAAAAAGAGAAAUAUAAAUUCUACCCAGGUAAAGGUUGUGUUAAAUCUUUUGAAAAAAAUGAUCUACACCAAAACAGAGGCACAUUAUUGGGAAAUAUAUAAUUCAUUGAUGGCAUUAAAUUUUCCAAAUGUGGAAGAAUAUUUUAAUAAUAAUUGGCAUAACAUU
Long non-coding RNA from Gordionus sp. m RMFG-2023, 1309 nucleotides. RefSeq lists it as uncharacterized. NCBI's taxonomy places the organism in Eukaryota, Metazoa, Nematomorpha, Gordioida, Chordodea, Parachordodidae. The record is from RefSeq and is a predicted model, not a curated record. The transcript has 5 exons.